GAUGAAGAAGCUGUUCCACCAGAGGUCACCACAUGUCUGACAGCGUCACCGUCCUCUUUCGGUGGUGUCUGUUUACGAGAGUGUUCUCGACAGCUCACGCGCGUCAGCGGUGAUCGAUUUACAUCGGCCCCAACGAAUGGAAUAAUUUUCG
Molecule: long non-coding RNA, 151 nt
Organism: Dermacentor albipictus
Lineage: Eukaryota; Metazoa; Arthropoda; Arachnida; Ixodida; Ixodidae
Source: RefSeq, a predicted model, not a curated record